GAUGAACGCUGGCGGCGUGCCUAAUACAUGCAAGUCGAGCGAACAGACGAGGAGCUUGCUCUUCUGACGUUAGCGGCGGACGGGUGAGUAACACAUGGAUAACCUACCUAUAAGACUGGGAUAACUUCGGGAAACCGGAGCUAAUACCGGAUAAUAUAUUGAACCGCAUGGUUCAAUAGUGAAAGACGGUUUUGCUGUCACUUAUAGAUGGAUCCGCGCCGCAUUAGCUAGUUGGUAAGGUAACGGCUUACCAAGACAACGAUGCGUAGCCGACCUGAGAGGGUGAUCGGCCACACUGGAACUGAGACACGGUCCAGACUCCUACGGGAGGCAGCAGUAGGGAAUCUUCCGCAAUGGGCGAAAGCCUGACGGAGCAACGCCGCGUGAGUGAUGAAGGUCUUCGGAUCGUAAAACUCUGUUAUUAGGGAAGAACAAAUGUGUAAGUAACUAUGCACGUCUUGACGGUACCUAAUCAGAAAGCCACGGCUAACUACGUG
Molecule: ribosomal RNA, 497 nt
Filed under: uncultured bacterium
Lineage: Bacteria
Description: partial 16S ribosomal RNA
Rfam family: Bacterial small subunit ribosomal RNA
Source: RNAcentral